Molecule: ribosomal RNA, 23 nt
Filed under: Aspergillus flavus
Lineage: Eukaryota; Fungi; Ascomycota; Eurotiomycetes; Eurotiales; Aspergillaceae
Also listed under: 5 other names
Description: partial 18S ribosomal RNA
Source: RNAcentral
UGAACCUGCGGAAGGAUCAUUAC